AACGCAGAUAGUGGAUGCCUUGGUCGUAUCUUCCGAAGAAGGACGUACAUAGCCACGAUAGUCGACGGGGAACUGCUACGAAGUUUUGAUCCGUCGGUGUCCGAAUGGAGCAAUCCUUCCUGAUUUAUAUCAGGAAACUUGUAAGCCAAAUUAUCCAAUUUAUUGGAUGAAUAACUUACAAUGAGGGAACCAUCUGAACUGAAACAUCUAAGUAAGAUGAGGAAAAGAAAUCAAAGAGAUUGCGUCAGUAGCGGCGAGCGAAAGCGCAAGAGCCUAAACCUUGUUCAUGUUUACAUGAGUGAGGGGUUGUGGGAGCCCAAUGUGGGAUUAGAAUUUAAUAGUAGAACAAUCUGGAAUGGUUGACCAUAGAGAGUGAAAGUCUCGUAAACGAAAUUAAAUUUUACCCUAGGGAAUUCCCAAGUAACAUGAGAUACACAUCUUGUGUGAAUCCGGGGGAACCAUCCUCCAAGGCUAAAUAAAGAUACGAACCGAUAGUGAACUAGUACCGUGAGGGAAAGGUGAAAAGAAGGGUGAGACACCCAAUGAAAUAGAAACUGAAACUAUCUGCGGUCGUGCCUAUUGAAGAAUGAGCCUGCGAGUUCUCGCUUACUGUGUGUUUAAAACGGUUUUACCGUUUAGGCAUAGCGAAAGCAAGUGUUAAUAGCGCGUAUAAACACAGUAACCGGGAGACCCGAAACCGAGUGAUCUAACCUUGAGCAGGGUGAGUCUUAAAGAAAUUUAAGAGGAGGCCCGAACCCGUUAUCGUUGUAAUGAUAUGGGAUGACUUGUGGUUAGUGGCAAAAUACCAACCGAACUCGGAGAUAGCUGGUUCUCCCCGAAAGGUCUAUAGGGACCGCGCCAUGCAAAAAGAUUAUCAGGGGUAAAGCUACUGGAUGGGUUAGCAAGGGUAACCGAGUUAACUCAACCAAACUCAGAAUACUGAUAAAAUAAAGCAUGGUAGACAGUCAUAUCGGGCUAAGCUGAUAUGGCUAAAGGGAAACAUCCCAGAUUUUCAGCUAAGGCCUCUAAAUCUACAUUAAGUUUAAAAGGAAGUUUUUUCUCUCAGACAGCCAGGAGGUUGGCUCAGAAGCAGCCACCCUUUAAAGAUAGCGUAACAGCUCACUGGUCGACUGAGAAGAAGCGCCGUAGUGCCGAAGCUAGAGAUGUCCUACUUUUAGUAGGGCGUGGUAGGGGAGCGUCCCAUAUGCAGUGAAGGCAAAUUGUAAGAUUUGUUGGAGUGUAUGGGAGUGAGAAUGCAGGCAUGAGUAGCGCACUAGACGGGUGAAAAUCCCGUCCGCCGAAUACCCAAGGUUUCCGUCGCAAGGUUCGUCCUCGACGGGUUAAUCGGUUCCUAAGGUGAGGUCAGUUUAACUGGCGUAGCCGAAGGACAAGUAGUUAAAAUUCUACUAUUUUUUGUAAGUCGUUAUUAAUUGGGGGUUCCCAAACAGGAAUACUGUAGCCUUCAUGUGAUGAGGGUUUAAACUGUGAAAUAGUUCUGAAUAGAAAAUCUAUCAGAAUGUUUAAUUGAGCAGUAAUGUAAAUUUCGCCGUGAGGUGAGAAAUUACAAAUAUUUCAGUUUGCAAGAAAACACUCGCAAUGAGACUUAUAAGAAGCCGUACCGCAAUCCGACACAGGUGGGUUGGUAGAGAAUACUAAGGCGAUCGAGAGAAGAAUCCUCAAGGAACUCGGCAAAAAAACUACCCGUAACUUCGGGAGAUGGGUUCCCUAACUUUUAGUUAGGGGCCACCAAAAGUUUGCUGACCGACUGUUUAUCAAAAACACAGGUCUGUGCGAAGUCGAAAGACGAAGUAUACAGGCCGACGCCUGUCCAGUGCCGGUAAGUUAAAGAGAGGAGUGGUACGAAUUUAUUCGUACUGCUUUGACCUAAAGCUCCGGUGAAACGACAGCAGUAACUAUGCGAAGUUCCUUGCCAGGUAAGUUCUGGCCCGCACGAAUGGCGUCACGAGUUAGCAACUGUCUUGAGGUUUCACUCGGCGAAAUUGCGUUGGCUGUGAAGACGCGGCCUAAUCCCACUUGGACAAAAAGACCCCGUGGAGCUUUACUGUAGUUUGGCAUUGCCUUAACAAUUUUUGAUUGUCUAGUAUAGGAGGGAGUUUUACGACAACAGUGUAAUACCUCUCGUUGGAGAUUGUUGGGCUUACUUAAUUCGCCUGAAGACGGCGAAGGGAAAAGUGCUAGAUGGGCAGUUUUACUGGGGCGGUACCCUGCCAAAGAGUAACGCAGGGGCACAAAGGUUAGCUUGUUACGGAUGGAAACCGUAAUUAAACUGCAAAGAGAUAAGCUAGCUUGACUGCAACACCGAAGGGUGGAGCAGGUACGAAAGUAGGUCUUAGUGAUCCCCCGAUCCUUCAUGGGAGGGACGGGGCUUAACUGAUAAAAGCUACCCCGGGGAUAACAGAGUAGUCGCCGCGGUUCGCUACCUCGAUGUCGGCUCAUGAUAUCCUAGGGCUGAAGAAGGUCCUAAGGGUUGGUCUGUUCGCCCAUUAAAAUCAUACGCGAGCUGGGUUCAGAACGGUAUCCAAUAGUACUAGAAAUAGUAAUAAUCUAUUGGUGGAGUCAAUCAGCAGGGAAGAUCAGCCGAUGAGGCUGAAACCCUCACACGAGAGGACCUGGAUGAAGGAAUCCCUGGUGUGCCGGUUGUGUCAUCAGACGCAGCGCCGGGUAGCUAUAUUCCUAAGGGAUAACCGCUGAAAGCAUCUAAGCGGGAAGCCUACCCAAAGAUUAGAACUCGUUAGUUUAAAAACUUGAAGACCCCAGGCAGAAUACCUGGUAUAACCGGCAGGAGGUGGAAGUCCCGUAAGGGGUUAAGCCUACUUGUACGGAUUGGUCGA
This 2852-nucleotide ribosomal RNA is filed under the name Candidatus Woesebacteria bacterium GW2011_GWE1_35_20. RNAcentral describes it as "bacterial LSU rRNA". It matches the Rfam family "Bacterial large subunit ribosomal RNA". Lineage: Bacteria; Candidatus Woeseibacteriota. The record is from RNAcentral.